This 110-nucleotide small nuclear RNA is filed under the name Phascolarctos cinereus (koala). Lineage: Eukaryota; Metazoa; Chordata; Mammalia; Diprotodontia; Phascolarctidae. The record is from RNAcentral.
GGGCAUAAUUUAUCCUUUUGGGUGCCUCACUUUCUAUCUUGGAAUGAUACAGAGUAGCAUGGCCCCUGUACAAGGAUGACACACAAAUUUGUGAAUAUUUUUAAUUAGAU